UUUUAAAAUUUUGAUCUCAAG
This 21-nucleotide non-coding RNA is filed under the name Caenorhabditis elegans. The record is from RNAcentral. Lineage: Eukaryota; Metazoa; Nematoda; Chromadorea; Rhabditida; Rhabditidae.